UACAGAGGUGGCAAGCGUUGUUCGGAAUUACUGGGCGUAAAGGGCGCGUAGGCGGCCAACUAAGUCAGACGUGAAAUCCCCAGGCUCAACCUGGGAACUGCGUCUGAUACUGGAUGGCUCGAGUUCGGGAGAGGGAAGUGGAAUUCCAGGUGUAGCGGUGAAAUGCGUAGAUAUCUGGAGGAACACCGGUGGCGAAGGCGGCUUCCUGGACCGACACUGACGCUGAGGCGCGAAAGCCAGGGGAGCAAACAGG
This 253-nucleotide ribosomal RNA is filed under the name uncultured bacterium. RNAcentral describes it as "partial 16S ribosomal RNA". It matches the Rfam family "Bacterial small subunit ribosomal RNA", at positions 524 to 776 of the family's 1533-position model. The record is from RNAcentral.